AAUUGUAUAAGGAGGUUAAUGUCCUGCGACGAGAUAAUGCAGAAUUACAUAAAAAGGCUUAUGGAGCAAAUGACAUAAACAGAAGUUCCUUCAAACCAUAUGGUUGCAGCAAUGGAUAUGACUUACAUGUACCUAUACAACUGCAGCUAAGCCAACCGCAACAAACACACAAUGAAACACCAGAAACGCAAGGAAUCUAGGAUGAUUACAACUGCCUUAACAAAGCAGACAGACAACUGUGGAGAAUAUAGUCAAUUUUCAUCAACUACUUGCCCCGGAGUGACAAAAAUCAUUGUUUGCAAACAAGAUUGUGUGUAAGAUAGUGGAAAAUAGACAUUCAGUAUAAACAUCAUCAAUUUCGUAAUGAUAUGGUACUUGGAUUAAACUUAAGAUUGUUGUGGUAAGAUCAAUCACCUUGUGGUAUGAUCAAUCACCCACCAACUUAAUGUAACAAUUAGAAAUAAUGAGAAGUUAUUUCAGGGUCCAGGUAAAAUUUUAGAUGUUUUAUUAUCAAGAUUUUUAAAAUAGACAUUUUGACCCCCACCAAUUCAACGCUGAAUUUUCCAUACUUAAUUUUUAGUUUUAUCAAGCAGCCUCUAAAAUGAUUAGAAAGUUAGGGAUGAUU
Molecule: non-coding RNA, 625 nt
Organism: Camellia sinensis
Lineage: Eukaryota; Viridiplantae; Streptophyta; Magnoliopsida; Ericales; Theaceae
Source: RefSeq, a predicted model, not a curated record